RNAcentral lists this unclassified non-coding RNA (430 nucleotides) under soil metagenome. RNAcentral's name for it is "partial contains 5.8S ribosomal RNA, internal transcribed spacer 2, and large subunit ribosomal RNA". The stretch from base 1 to 120 matches the Rfam family "5.8S ribosomal RNA", at positions 35 to 154 of the family's 154-position model. The record is from RNAcentral.
GAUGAAGAACGUAGCGAAAUGCGAUACGUAAUGUGAAUUGCAGAAUUCAGUGAAUCAUCGAAUCUUUGAACGCAUAUUGCGCUCUCUGGUAUUCCGGAGAGCAUGCUUGUUUGAGUAUCAGUAAACACCUCAACUCCCUUUUCUUUUUUGAAAUUGGAGCUGUACUUGAGUGAUCCCAACGCUUUCUUCCAAGAAAGUGGCGGGUUGCUUGAAAUGCAGGUGCAGCUGAACUUUUCUCUGAGCUAUAAGCAUAUCUAUUUAGUCUGCCUAAAAAACAGAUUAUUACCUUUGCUGCAGCUAACAUAAAGGAGACUAGUUCUUGUGCUGACUGAUGCAGGAUUCACAGAGACAGCUUCGGCUGACUUUGUAAACUCGAUCUCAAAUCAAGUAAGACUACCCGCUGAACUUAAGCAUAUCAAUAAGCUGAGGA